RNAcentral lists this ribosomal RNA (253 nucleotides) under uncultured bacterium. Its description in RNAcentral is "partial 16S ribosomal RNA". It matches the Rfam family "Bacterial small subunit ribosomal RNA", at positions 524 to 776 of the family's 1533-position model. The record is from RNAcentral.
UACGUAGGGUGCAAGCGUUAAUCGGAAUUACUGGGCGUAAAGCGUGCGCAGGCGGUUUUGUAAGUCUGAUGUGAAAUCCCCGGGCUCAACCUGGGAAUUGCAUUGGAGACUGCAAGGCUAGAAUCUGGCAGAGGGGGGUAGAAUUCCACGUGUAGCAGUGAAAUGCGUAGAGAUGUGGAGGAACACCGAUGGCGAAGGCAGCCCCCUGGGUCAAGAUUGACGCUCAUGCACGAAAGCGAGGGGAGCAAACAGG